AGAAUCAACGCUGGCGGCGUGCCUAACACAUGCAAGUCGAACGCGAAAGCCCCGAAAGGGGCAAGUAGAGUGGCAAACGGGUGAGUAACACGUGGGUGACCUGCCUUCGAGCGGGGGAUAACGUCCCGAAAGGGACGCUAAUACCGCAUAACAUCCUGCCUUUGAAGAGGUGGAGAUCAAAGCUGGGGAUCGCAAGACCCGGCACUUGAAGAGGGGCCCGCGUCUGAUUAGCUAGUUGGUGGGGUAAUGGGCCUACCAAGGCAACGAUCAGUA
RNAcentral lists this ribosomal RNA (273 nucleotides) under uncultured soil bacterium. RNAcentral describes it as "partial 16S ribosomal RNA". It matches the Rfam family "Bacterial small subunit ribosomal RNA", at positions 26 to 285 of the family's 1533-position model. The record is from RNAcentral.